UAAUCGGAAUUACUGGGCGUAAAGCGCGCGUAGGUGGCUUGAUAAGCCGGUUGUGAAAGCCCCGGGCUCAACCUGGGAACGGCAUCCGGAACUGUCAAGCUAGAGUGCAGGAGAGGAAGGUAGAAUUCCCGGUGUAGCGGUGAAAUGCGUAGAGAUCGGGAGGAAUACCAGUGGCGAAGGCGGCCUUCUGGACUGACACUGACACUGAGGUGCGAAAGCGUGGGUAGCAAACAGGAUUAGAUACCCUGGUAGUCCACGCCGUAAACGAUGUCGACCAGCCGUUGGGUGCCUAGCGCACUUUGUGGCGAAGUUAACGCGAUAAGUCGACCGCCUGGGGAGUACGGCCGCAAGGUUAAAACUCAAAUGAAUUGACGGGGGCCCGCACAAGCGGUGGAGCAUGUGGUUUAAUUCGAUGCAACGCGAAGAACCUUACCUACUCUUGACAUCCUGCGAAUUUGGUAGAGAUACCUUAGUGCCUUCGGGAACGCAGAGACAGGUGCUGCAUGGCUGUCGUCAGCUCGUGUUGUGAAAUGUUGGGUUAAGUCCCGUAACGAGCGCAACCCUUGUCCUUAUUUGCCAGCGCGUAAUGGCGGGAACUCUAAGGAGACUGCCGGUGACAAACCGGAGGAAGGUGGGGACGACGUCAAGUCAUCAUGGCCCUUACGAGUAGGGCUACACACGUGCUACAAUGGUCGGUACAAAGGGUUGCCAACUCGCGAGAGUGAGCCAAUCCCGAAAAGCCGAUCUCAGUCCGGAUCGGAGUCUGCAACUCGACUCCGUGAAGUCGGAAUCGCUAGUAAUCGUGGAUCAGAAUGCCACGGUGAAUACGUUCCCGGGCCUUGUACACACC
This 850-nucleotide ribosomal RNA is filed under the name Actinomycetes bacterium. Its description in RNAcentral is "bacterial SSU rRNA". It matches the Rfam family "Bacterial small subunit ribosomal RNA", at positions 542 to 1391 of the family's 1533-position model. Lineage: Bacteria; Bacillati; Actinomycetota; Actinomycetes. The record is from RNAcentral.